This 492-nucleotide ribosomal RNA is filed under the name uncultured bacterium. Its description in RNAcentral is "partial 16S ribosomal RNA". It matches the Rfam family "Bacterial small subunit ribosomal RNA", at positions 29 to 507 of the family's 1533-position model. The record is from RNAcentral.
AGUGAACGCUGGCGGUAGGCCUAACACAUGCAAGUCGAACGGCAGCACAGUAAGAGCUUGCUCUUACGGGUGGCGAGUGGCGGACGGGUGAGGAAUACAUCGGAAUCUACUUUUUCGUGGGGGAUAACGUAGGGAAACUUACGCUAAUACCGCAUACGACCUACGGGUGAAAGCAGGGGAUCUUCGGACCUUGCGCGAUUGAAUGAGCCGAUGUCGGAUUAGCUAGUUGGCGGGGUAAAGGCCCACCAAGGCGACGAUCCGUAGCUGGUCUGAGAGGAUGAUCAGCCACACUGGAACUGAGACACGGUCCAGACUCCUACGGGAGGCAGCAGUGGGGAAUAUUGGCCAAUGGGCGCAAGCCUGCUCCAGCCAUACCGCGUGGGUGAAGAAGGCCUUCGGGUUGUAAAGCCCUUUUGUUGGGAAAGAAAAGCAGCAGGUUAAUACCCCGCUGUUCUGACGGUACCCAAAGAAUAAGCACCGGCUAACUUCGUG